GCUGCGCAGCUUUCACUUUCUUUUCCGCGCCGUUCUUUGCUUUCUUUUCGACCUCGAACGCACCGUCGUGUCUCCCGUCGUCCGUGUCUCCGCUUCGUGCAUCGUAACACGGUUUCGAGGUGCAGUCAUAGUCGUGGUGGUGGUGGUGAUGUUGGUCAGCAUUUGGACCGGAGUUCAUCUCCCGCACGCGGCGACGGCGGCGGUGGCAGUAACGUGGGCAGGGCGCGUGCGUUGGCGUGGACUUCGUGGGCGCGGUUGUUUGGUUUUUUCGAGGGCGGACGCUUCGUGACUCGAUUUCUUCAGACGGAAACCCUGAACGCCAUUAAGAAGUGUCGCUGAUGUUGGAAAGAACAACAGAAGGAGACUUCCGACCUUUUGGGGCCGUAAAC
This is a long non-coding RNA of Tachysurus fulvidraco (yellow catfish), 389 nucleotides long. RefSeq lists it as uncharacterized. The transcript is spliced from 2 exons. The record is from RefSeq and is a predicted model, not a curated record. NCBI's taxonomy places the organism in Eukaryota, Metazoa, Chordata, Actinopteri, Siluriformes, Bagridae.